AGUACCUCCGACGAGAUGAGUGACUGCCCGGGAGGGCUGGAGGAAGCUUGUAUGAGACAGCUGGCCCGAGCCCGAACCAGGCCAAUCAACAUGCUGGCCCGAGCCCGGCCCGGGCCCACAGUCAAAAGUCCGAGCCCAUCCCAGGCCUGGGCUUUCGGCUCGGCAAAGUCUGCGGAUCUGGUUAUGCUUCCUGUACGAGACAGAUCACGAAGCGGUUGCUGACUGACCAGUUGGGGCGAAAAUUUUUGUGGGAAGGACGUAAGAGAAAGUUGACAUUCAGGAACCUUCACCUUGCUGAGUGCAUCAUAAAUGCAGUGCAGAGCUGCCAUAAAUGUGAAGACUUCAAGGUAGAAACCAUGGUCACGGAUUAACUUCGCCACGCACCUGCCUGACAUCAGUCAUAUCAAAUGG
Molecule: unclassified non-coding RNA, 411 nt
Filed under: Ixodes scapularis (black-legged tick)
Lineage: Eukaryota; Metazoa; Arthropoda; Arachnida; Ixodida; Ixodidae
Description: uncharacterized LOC121833512, transcript variant X2
Source: RNAcentral